This 1272-nucleotide long non-coding RNA is filed under the name Piliocolobus tephrosceles (Ugandan red Colobus). RNAcentral describes it as "lncRNA (ENSPTEG00000002097.1)". The record is from RNAcentral. Lineage: Eukaryota; Metazoa; Chordata; Mammalia; Primates; Cercopithecidae.
UGUCAAGAUUUUUUUUUUUUUUUUUUUCUCAAUUCUUGUACUAAAAACGAUAUUGUUUUGUUAUGCACUUAUUCUUAUACAUAUAAUAUACACAUAUUUAAAUAUGUAUAUAUAUAUGUAUGUAUAUGUAUUUAUAUGUAUGUAUAUGUAUUUAUAUGUAUGUAUAUGUAUUUAUAUGUAUGUAUAUGUAUGUAUAUAUAUGUAUAUGAUUGGUAAAAAAAAAAAAAAAAAAAAAAGGAUCUUUUUUUUUCUUAUAACUUAUUAAAAAAAAAAAAAAAAAAAUAAAAUAGUCAGUAAACAAAGAAUAAAUAUUUAAGAAAUGAUUAUCAAAUAGAUAAAAAUAAAUAAAUAAAUAAAUAAACAAAUAAAUAAAUAAGUAAACUGAAACAAUGAUUUUGAACACUUCAACGGAUUUUGUGAUUAUUCAUGUAUUUGUUAAAGCGAUAUGAAUAAAAUAAAUUCUACGUUAAAUCAUAUGCAGUUAGUUAAUGAAAAUCUGAAAAAAUUAUUCUUAACACAACAAGAUUUUAAUGAUCAUGAUUCUUAUCUGUUGUUCCGAGGCAAAGUAUCAAAAAGAAUUGUCUAUUAUGCAUCUUUAAUUUCACAAUGUAAUAAUAACAUAUCUGUUUGUGAAAAUGCAGAUGAAAGUGUAGAUGAAUAUGUUAAGGAAAAACUUGAAUACCAUAUAAAAACUCUUAGAAACUAUAAAAGGGAACUAAGUAAAUGGUGGAUGGAACAUAAAAAGAAUUAUUAUCGUUUAUGUGUACAUAAUAUUUUAGAUAAAAAAAAAUGUGAGAGCCAUGAUACUAUAAAAACAAGUGGCACAGAUGUAAAUGACUUACAUUUAAAAGACACGAAAAAUAUGAUGAUAAAUGAAAUUAACAGAAUGAAAAAUGCAAAAUCACAAUUAUUAGAAUCUUCUCACAUAUUAAAAAAACAAGACAAAAUAUUUACUAUGUUCGAGUCAAGGUUAAAAUCAAGUGCACAACUUAUAUUAUCUAUAAGAAAAAAAGCAGAAAAAGACUCGAAAUAUGUUUGGUACUCUUUUUUUUUCUUUCUUAUUAAACUUUUAUUUUUCGCCAUAUUCUAUUUAUUAAAAUUUUGUAUCCGAGUGUUUUAUUUAUUUAAAACGAAAAAUAAAGAAAAUGAUUUUAGUACAAGCGCGGAUAUUUCGAAAAGUGUCACGUCAUAAUCGUUUAAGUAACUAGUGAAUUUUGAAAAAAAAAAACAGACAUAAACAAACGUAAACAAACGAAAGCAAACAAAAACAAA